This is a non-coding RNA of Daphnia pulex (common water flea), 45 nucleotides long. The record is from Rfam. Lineage: Eukaryota; Metazoa; Arthropoda; Branchiopoda; Diplostraca; Daphniidae.
CAAUCGGCCCUUUUCAGGGCCACCAGUUACUAAAGCAAAAGAUUA